UUUAAGAAUGAUGAAUUACAAAAUUACGAUGUACUCUCGAGUCCUGAGUAUAUAUAAAUUGAACUCAAAAACAUUGCUCAGUUGAGCGUGAGUUUAAGAUGAAGUUAACUUGAAAAUCUGACAAAAAAAAAAAA
This 134-nucleotide small nucleolar RNA is filed under the name Plasmodium gonderi. Its description in RNAcentral is "small nucleolar RNA snoR16". It matches the Rfam family "small nucleolar RNA snoR16". The record is from Rfam by way of RNAcentral. Lineage: Eukaryota; Apicomplexa; Aconoidasida; Haemosporida; Plasmodiidae.